Quercus robur (English oak) is the source of this 1022-nucleotide long non-coding RNA. RefSeq lists it as uncharacterized. The transcript has 2 exons. The record is from RefSeq and is a predicted model, not a curated record. NCBI's taxonomy places the organism in Eukaryota, Viridiplantae, Streptophyta, Magnoliopsida, Fagales, Fagaceae.
AAAUAAAGAUAUGAUUAUGAAUUAUAUUAUUAUUUAUUAAAUUAGUCGAAAUUGAAAAAAUAUAUGUAUCAAUUAGAGCAUCUAAAAGUAUUAUCACGCGCAACGCGCAUGUUACCAGACUAGUUAUUGCUGUAAAAAGAAAGGCUGCAUUGGUAUCCAUUGGACCAUUAUCCAAAUAAAGGUUGUGUGAAAUCACGAAAAAGUAAUCUUUUAUAGCAUGCGGGCGAAACACAACUACUUGUGCUAGGCAUCGAUACUCGAUAGCCAAUAUGUGUGCAACAGCAUGCCCACACUUACGGUCCACAGUUUCAUCUUCACUCUCUUUAAAGUUUAAAGUUUAAACCCAUGUAUGGAUGUAAUAAUCUAUAUCAUUGUUUCAUAUUAUAGUGCCUAUAAAAGAAAAUUUCCAUAAUUUUGGCAGGGCUGACUUCAAAAAGAUUGCAUUGGAUAGCAAACCUUGUGCCAACCUAGGGAAGAAGGUGGGCUAGGUAAUUGGAAAACAAAGAUCAUGAAUGAAGCAAUGAUAGUCAAACAGUCUACUUCUUCUGUAUCAUGGGUAUGGAGAAGCAUUCUCAAAUACAGAGAAUCUGUGGCUGGUCAAGCACAAUGGAGGAUAGGGAAUGAGAAAGAUAUUCCUAUUCAUCAUCCUCUUUGGGUAUAGGUGGAACCAACAAAGCUCUCUAACAACCCAACAUCGUUAAGGUUGCUGACCUCAUAGAUGAGGACCAGAGAGCAUGGAAGCCAGCUCUUCUUGCAAAAAUUUACCCAAGGGAUUAAAAAAAUUAAAAAAAGGAGGUUCUGGACAUCCCUCUUAGCAAGUCUACCGUCGCAAAAGAUAAGCUAUUAUGGCUUUAUGCUCAAUCUGGAAGUUACAUGUUAAGCAAGGAUAUAAACUUUUGUAUAAGGAAGUGGAAGAUUGAAACCACAUUAAUAGGGCAAGUGAUCCAACACCUAGAGUUGUGGAUGUGGAUGACUAAAUUUCUGGUUCAAAAUAAAUCAAGCAAGUAAAAUAGUUUCACAAA